Molecule: long non-coding RNA, 554 nt
Filed under: Hordeum vulgare
Lineage: Eukaryota; Viridiplantae; Streptophyta; Magnoliopsida; Poales; Poaceae
Description: long non-coding RNA (HVUL_LNC016195)
Source: RNAcentral
CUACAAGGACUCCAUUACAUUGUGGGAAAUUAAAGUCAUCACUCCACGUAGACGAGUCAUAGCAGGCUACAGGGACUCCAUUACAAUGCGAGACAUUUCCCCGAAGGGACAGACACAACAGCAAAGAAGGAUACAUGCCGGUCAACCAAUGUAUCCGGAGCAGUAGCAAGCUACCAUGGCUCGGUGGAAUCACAAAGGGGCAUUUCUUUGUAAAGAGUACUACUAAAGGUGCACAACUAGGUGUCGAAUCCCAUACAUAUCGCAGCACAUCACACGUACGCAUGACGUACUGAAUAUGCAUAGAUACAACAAUGGCAUCACAACAUAACCAUACAACAUCACAACAUUUAUUUAGAAGCCUCAGAGGAGCCUUGCAUUAUAUGUUCAUACAGGUAGGGGUCACAUGACCCGACACUCAAGUCAUACACACAAAGUCAUACAAGCCAAGCGGAAGCUUAAAGCUGUCUGAGUAUAGACAGAUGAAAGGUAAAAGGCAUAAAGCCUGACUAUCUAUAGUUCCCUUCCGAAGGGGCCAGGUCAUAGCUAUGACACCA